CCGCCGCCGGGCUCCCUGCGGGGCAGGGCAGGGCGGCAGCACCGCCCCCCUCCGAGCCUGGCCCAGGGCGAGCGGGCGUCGUUUCGGAAGAGGAAAGACGCCCUCAGGCUCCAGGUGGUCAUGACGCUCCCGACUCUUAACGGUAUCGCCGUUACUACGGUGCCGGUUAACCCCCGAGGCUCCCUCGCGGCUUCAAAAAGCGCGUUCCCGGCUCGUGCUGGUCCGCAGCGUCCCAGCAGGUUAUUUUCGCUAGUUCUGGAGGAGGGAAGAUGGUGAGGGGGAGUGAAACCUACUGUCAAUAUUUUUCCUCUGAAGGUUUGUGACAUACUUACCAUUAACUGUCUUCAAACAUUCUCAAUUUUGAAAUAAUUGCUCUACUGUGCACAGUGUGCUGAAAGGAAUAUUGUUAUACCUUUAGGUGGAUUUGAUCAAUGAUUAUGAAACUCAGAAGCAUGGUUUUUGUACCUUGUGAUGGAUUCAAACUUGCUGUUCUCUAAAUUUCCUUGCCCUAGAAUCUACUGUAAUAUUGGACUUCCGCUGCCAAAUUCUCUUCUGGACUCUCAUCAGAAUCAGAAAGGUCCUAUUAAAAUGCAAUUGUUUGUACUUAGUGUUUGAUGUUACAGAAGGAUUUAUUAGCGCAGCAACUGAAUUGAAACCUAAAAUAGGAAUUUUGGUCAUAUGUGGAAAUGAGCCUGUAAGUUUUAUCUUAGUUCCUAUUCAUUUUUAAGAGGCCCCCAUGGGGGAGGAAGAAAGCAGUUUUCUCAACCUGUGCAGUGGACAUUGAGUUCUACAGAUUCUGAAUGGGUGGGAUGUGCUCC
This 818-nucleotide long non-coding RNA is filed under the name Dromaius novaehollandiae (emu). RNAcentral describes it as "lncRNA (ENSDNVG00000007968.1)". Lineage: Eukaryota; Metazoa; Chordata; Aves; Casuariiformes; Dromaiidae. The record is from RNAcentral.